RNAcentral lists this ribosomal RNA (250 nucleotides) under uncultured bacterium. RNAcentral describes it as "partial 16S ribosomal RNA". It matches the Rfam family "Bacterial small subunit ribosomal RNA", at positions 122 to 353 of the family's 1533-position model. The record is from RNAcentral.
CAACCUGCCCUUCAGAGGGGGACAACAGUUGGAAACGACUGCUAAUACCGCAUACGAUCUAACCUUGGCAUCGAGGAUAGGAUGAAAGGUGGCCUCUAUUUAUAAGCUAUCACUGAAGGAGGGGAUUGCGUCUGAUUAGCUAGUUGGAGGGGUAACGGCCCACCAAGGCGAUGAUCAGUAGCCGGUCUGAGAGGAUGAACGGCCACAUUAGGACUGAGACACGGCCCAGACUCCUACGGGAGGCAGCAUG